CAGCAGCCACGGGAACACAGAGGGUGCAAGCGUUAAUCGGAAUUACUGGGCGUAAAGCGCGCGUAGGUGGUUUGUUAAGUUGGAUGUGAAAGCCCCGGGCUCAACCUGGGAACUGCAUCCAAAACUGGCAAGCUAGAGUACGGUAGAGGGUGGUGGAAUUUCCUGUGUAGCGGUGAAAUGCGUAGAUAUAGGAAGGAACACCAGUGGCGAAGGCGACCACCUGGACUGAUACUGACACUGAGGUGCGAAAGCGUGGGGAGCAAACAGGAUUAGAUACCCGCGUAGUCCCUGUCUCUUAUAC
Molecule: ribosomal RNA, 301 nt
Filed under: uncultured bacterium
Lineage: Bacteria
Description: partial 16S ribosomal RNA
Rfam family: Bacterial small subunit ribosomal RNA
Source: RNAcentral